Molecule: ribosomal RNA, 618 nt
Filed under: uncultured bacterium
Lineage: Bacteria
Description: bacterial SSU rRNA
Rfam family: Bacterial small subunit ribosomal RNA
Source: RNAcentral
CCUACGGGAGGCAGCAGUGGGGAAUUUUGGACAAUGGGCGAAAGCCUGAUCCAGCCAUGCCGCGUGCAGGAUGAAGGCCUUCGGGUUGUAAACUGCUUUUGUACGGAACGAAAAGCCUCUUUCUAAUAAAGAGGGGUCAUGACGGUACCGUAAGAAUAAGCACCGGCUAACUACGUGCCAGCAGCCGCGGUAAUACGUAGGGUGCGAGCGUUAAUCGGAAUUACUGGGCGUAAAGCGUGCGCAGGCGGUUAUAUAAGACAGUUGUGAAAUCCCCGGGCUCAACCUGGGAACUGCAUCUGUGACUGUAUAGCUAGAGUACGGUAGAGGGGGAUGGAAUUCCGCGUGUAGCAGUGAAAUGCGUAGAUAUGCGGAGGAACACCGAUGGCGAAGGCAAUCCCCUGGACCUGUACUGACGCUCAUGCACGAAAGCGUGGGGAGCAAACAGGAUUAGAUACCCUGGUAGUCCACGCCCUAAACGAUGUCAACUGGUUGUUGGGAAUUCACUUUCUCAGUAACGAAGCUAACGCGUGAAGUUGACCGCCUGGGGAAGUACGGCCGCAAGGUUGAAACCGUUAGAAGUAGUAGCGNGNGAGNGCGACGACGACGACGAGGAGGAGG